Molecule: ribosomal RNA, 292 nt
Filed under: uncultured bacterium
Lineage: Bacteria
Description: partial 16S ribosomal RNA
Rfam family: Bacterial small subunit ribosomal RNA
Source: RNAcentral
GAAUUCAGUAGUGAUUCAGGCCUAACACAUGCAAGUCGAACGGCAGCACGGACUUCGGUCUGGUGGCGAGUGGCGAACGGGUGAGUAAUAUAUCGGAACGUGCCCAGUCGUGGGGGAUAACGUAGUGAAAAUUACGCUAAUACCGCAUACGAUCUAUGGAUGAAAGCGGGGGAUCGCAAGACCUCGCGCGAUUGGAGCGGCCAAUAUCAGAUUAGGUAGUUGGUGGGGUAAAGGCUCACCAAGCCGACGAUCUGUAGCUGGUCUGAGAGGACGACCAGCCACACUGGAACUG